UACAUUUUAAUAUAUGAUGUAUAAAGGCUUUUGAAGCUUUAAGAAAUAGUUUAAUUCUAUUAAAUGUAA
Molecule: transfer RNA, 69 nt
Filed under: Sciodrepoides watsoni
Lineage: Eukaryota; Metazoa; Arthropoda; Insecta; Coleoptera; Leiodidae
Description: tRNA-Gln
Source: RNAcentral